UCAGGAGCAAAUGAAAAACACACAGAGUGACUUAAGCCAAAGGAAGUUAAUGGUACAUCUAUGAGGAGAGGAAGCCUUGCAACUGAUUUUUACUGUGCUCGUCUUUUACUGUAGGAGUCGUGGGCUCAGAGCCAGAUUAGCUGAUUACGGCAAAGGAGCAAAACUUUCGUGGGAACACUGACUACUAAAUUGAAAGAAACUUAUAGAAAUACCUGGGAUCUUGAUGAUGAUGACAACUUGUGAAAGCAGUGAAGUAAGUUCGCUUCAUGGUGAUAGUCAACUUUAUGAUGAUACCAAAAAAGUGAAAUGAAGGGUGGAUUAAAAAAAAGUCUCAUCUAGCAAUUCACUUCACCAUAAGACCGGCACUAAAGACCAAGAACUCUUUCUACAUCCGUCUGUGGUAAAUUAUCUUGGAAUCCUCUUAUGACAGCUUCCUGAUUGUGUGUCCAGAGACCACAAAAAUUUCGGACAGCCUACCAGUAAAGAGGACUACCACUUAUUUUACUGUCUUAAAGGUAUCAGUGGUGCAACCCAUGCUAAGGAUGGGCUUGUAAGAAUAAAAUCCAAAACUUUUUGUGGACUAGCA
Molecule: long non-coding RNA, 586 nt
Filed under: Phascolarctos cinereus (koala)
Lineage: Eukaryota; Metazoa; Chordata; Mammalia; Diprotodontia; Phascolarctidae
Description: lncRNA (ENSPCIG00000036016.1)
Source: RNAcentral